CUGCUUCCAAACACCUGUAUUUCGCCUUAGCCUUGUAUUUUUGCGUUUUUGAGCUGUAUACAAUAUGUAUACAACCCAUUUCUUGGGCUUUGAACAUUUAUGAACUAAUUUCCAGCACUACUUUGGGCCUUCGGGAUCUGUAACGGCUUCCAAAUAAAUAGGAGGGUUGACUCGAGAAAAGGGUAAAAUUGAGCCUUUACGGCUCAUCUUGAAGAUGUAAGAGAGAGGUCCACCAUAG
Molecule: long non-coding RNA, 238 nt
Filed under: Solanum tuberosum (potato)
Lineage: Eukaryota; Viridiplantae; Streptophyta; Magnoliopsida; Solanales; Solanaceae
Description: long non-coding RNA (STUB_LNC006650)
Source: RNAcentral